This 1063-nucleotide small RNA is filed under the name Arabidopsis thaliana (thale cress). Its description in RNAcentral is "ATSL028740". The record is from RNAcentral. Lineage: Eukaryota; Viridiplantae; Streptophyta; Magnoliopsida; Brassicales; Brassicaceae.
AAUUUUCUUUAAUUUAUAAUUUUUUUUAUCAUUUACUUUAUUUAAAUUUUUGUUACACUUUGCGCCGUUCUCUGAUAGCCGCAUCCUCCCAGGCACUAUUCCCGAGAUAUCUUGAUUUGCGCCGUUCUCUGAUGUCAGUGGUGCUAUGGAUCGCCGCGUUGGAUAUUCUACUAUCGUUUUUGUUGUAUCUCUUCUCUUUAUGCGUGCUCAAUUCUUGUUCAAAGUCAAACCACAUGAGUUGAUCCAAAACUUGCUCAUAUCUGAUAAUGUAGACUCGCUGGAGUUGAUUCCGACUCCCCCUUGUUUUCCUUGUGGCAACUCUCUUCAUGGUGCCUAAGCAAAGAUCCAGUCUUCAACUCUGUAUCUUUCCUCCUUUCAACUGGUUACCCCUCAAAUUCUACUCAUGUUACAUCCCAUUCUUAGUUCUUGACUUCCCCGAUAAAGCUUCCUCCUCGUUUGGUGGUGAUGUUGUUCCCCUACCAUUUUUUUUAAAGGUUCCAGCGAUAUUUAGUCUCCUCUUUGCUACUUAUUUUUGCGACGGUGAUACCUCAUGUAGUAUUGGUGCCUAGCUUUGGGCCUUGCAACGUUUGGGCCAAUUGUUGGCUUCUUGGCUAUUGGGUUUUUUUUUAGUGGAAAAGGUCAUCUCUCCCCAUUCUAUUUGUCUUAGCCCUUUAAGAAAUUGUCUUUCCCUCUUUUGUCCUCAACUCGCUAUCCUCUGAUUCUCCAAUUGUCGAUUCACCGGAUACUUCUCAGAUUUCUUUCAUCGACACAUCUGAUAUUUCUCUACUUCCCCUGUCCACGUCUAUGGCAGGUCAUGUCUAGUCUCGAACCAUCAUUGUUAGAUCGAUUCCCUCCUAUUUGUGGCAAAGAUUAUGCACUAGAUACUUUUCUGUCUGCUGUUAAGGCGAAAGCUUGUUGCUUCCAGACUCAAACCACCUAUGAUGGUUUGUCUUAACGCCAUAAGAGAUGGUGACUACAUCAUACAUGAUUUUUACUGAUUUUUAGUUUCAAUUUUUGAUUCAAAGAUUAUACAUGAGAUUAAAGAUUUUGUCCUUCGCAAAAA